UACGUAGGGUGCAAGCGUUGUCCGGAAUUAUUGGGCGUAAAGAGCUCGUAGGCGGUUUGUUGCGUCGGCUGUGAAAACCCGGGGCUCAACCCCGGGCCUGCAGCCGAUACGGGCAGACUAGAGUUCGGCAGGGGAGACUGGAAUUCCUGGUGUAGCGGUGAAAUGCGCAGAUAUCAGGAAGAACACCCGUGGCUAAGGCGGCUCUCUAGUACGGUACUGACGCUGAGACGCGAAAGCGUGGGGAGCGAACAGG
Molecule: ribosomal RNA, 253 nt
Filed under: uncultured bacterium
Lineage: Bacteria
Description: partial 16S ribosomal RNA
Rfam family: Bacterial small subunit ribosomal RNA
Source: RNAcentral